Molecule: non-coding RNA, 30 nt
Filed under: Mus musculus (house mouse)
Lineage: Eukaryota; Metazoa; Chordata; Mammalia; Rodentia; Muridae
Source: RNAcentral
UGGUAAAAAGAUUAAAAUCUGACCAUGGGA